UAGAGUUUGAUCAUGGCUCAGGUUUUAACGCUGGCGGCGUGCCUAAUACAUGAAAGUCGAGCGGACCGAAGGGAGCUUGCUCCUUUAGGUUAGCGGUGGACGGGUGAGUAACACGUGGGCAACCUGCCCUGCAGACUGGGAUAACUUCGGGAAACCGGAGCUAAUACCGGAUAACACCGAAAACCGCAUGGUUUUCGGUUGAAAGGCGGCUUUUAGCUGUCACUGCAGGAUGGGCCCGCGGCGCAUUAGCUAGUUGGUGAGGUAACGGCUCACCAAGGCGACGAUGCGUAGCCGACCUGAGAGGGUGACCGGCCACACUGGGACUGAGACACGGCCCAGACUCCUACGGGAGGCAGCAGUAGGGAAUCUUCCGCAAUGGACGAAAGUCUGACGGAGCAACGCCGCGUGAGCGAAGAAGGUCUUCGGAUCGUAAAGCUCUGUUGUCAGGGAAGAACAAGUACCGUUCGAACAGGGCGGUACCUUGACGGUACCUGACGAGGAAGCCACGGCUAACUACGUGCCAGCAGCCGCGGUAAUACGUAGGUGGCAAGCGUUGUCCGGAAUUAUUGGGCGUAAAGCGCGCGCAGGCGGUUCCUUAAGUCUGAUGUGAAAUCUCGCGGCUCAACCGCGAGCGGCCAUUGGAAACUGGGGAACUUGAGUGCAGGAGAGGGGAGCGGAAUUCCACGUGUAGCGGUGAAAUGCGUAGAGAUGUGGAGGAACACCAGUGGCGAAGGCGGCUCUCUGGCCUGUAACUGACGCUGAGGCGCGAAAGCGUGGGGAGCGAACAGGAUUAGAUACCCUGGUAGUCCACGCCGUAAACGAUGAGUGCUAAGUGUUAGAGGGUAUCCACCCUUUAGUGCUGCAGCAAACGCAUUAAGCACUCCGCCUGGGGAGUACGGCCGCAAGGCUGAACUCAAGGAAUUGACGGGGACCCGCACAAGCGGUGGAGCAUGGUGGUUUAUUCGAAGCAA
Molecule: ribosomal RNA, 971 nt
Filed under: Aeribacillus pallidus
Lineage: Bacteria; Bacillati; Bacillota; Bacilli; Caryophanales; Bacillaceae
Description: bacterial SSU rRNA
Rfam family: Bacterial small subunit ribosomal RNA
Source: RNAcentral